This 671-nucleotide ribosomal RNA is filed under the name Inocybe nitidiuscula. RNAcentral describes it as "eukaryotic LSU rRNA". It matches the Rfam family "Eukaryotic large subunit ribosomal RNA", at positions 1 to 653 of the family's 3401-position model. The record is from RNAcentral. Lineage: Eukaryota; Fungi; Basidiomycota; Agaricomycetes; Agaricales; Inocybaceae.
UUGACCUCAAAUCAGGUAGGACUACCCGCUGAACUUAAGCAUAUCAAUAAGCGGAGGAAAAGAAACUAACAAGGAUUCCCCUAGUAACUGCGAGUGAAGCGGGAAGAGCUCAAAUUUGAAAUCUGGCGGUUCUUGACCGUCCGAGUUGUAAUCUAGAGAAGUGCUACCUGUGCUGGACCGUGUACAAGUCUCCUGGAAUGGAGCAUCACAGAGGGUGAGAAUCCCGUCUUUGACACGGACUGCCUGUACGUUGUGGUGCGCUCUCGAAGAGUCGAGUUGUUUGGGAAUGCAGCUCAAAAUGGGUGGUAAAUGCCAUCUAAAGCUAAAUAUUGGCGAGAGACCGAUAGCGAACAAGUACCGUGAGGGAAAGAUGAAAAGAACUUUGGAAAGAGAGUUAAACAGUACGUGAAAUUGCUGAAAGGGAAACGCUUGAAGUCAGUCGCGUCGGCUAGAAAUCAGCCUUGCUUUUGCUUGGUGUACUUUCUUGUUGAUGGGUCAGCAUCAAUUUCGACCGUCGGAUAAAGUCGUCGGGAAUGUGGCAUCUUCGGAUGUGUUAUAGCCCGGCGUCGCAUACGGUGGUUGGGAUUGAGGAGCUCAGCACGCCGCAAGGCCGGGUCUCUUGACCACGUCCGUGCUUAGGAUGCUGGCAUAAUGGCUUUAAUCGACCCGUC